This 396-nucleotide unclassified non-coding RNA is filed under the name uncultured fungus. Its description in RNAcentral is "partial contains 5.8S ribosomal RNA and internal transcribed spacer 2". The stretch from base 1 to 133 matches the Rfam family "5.8S ribosomal RNA", at positions 22 to 154 of the family's 154-position model. The record is from RNAcentral. Lineage: Eukaryota; Fungi.
UGGCUCUCGCAUCGAUGAAGAACGCAGCGAAAUGCGAUAAGUAAUGUGAAUUGCAGAAUUCAGUGAAUCAUCGAAUCUUUGAACGCACCUUGCGCUCCUUGGUAUUCCGAGGAGCAUGCCUGUUUGAGUGUCAUUAAAUUCUCAACCCUGCCUGGCUUUGCAGCCGUGGAUUUGGGCUUGGAUGUGAGGGGUUUUGCCGGCUCCCUGAGAGUCGGCCCCCUUGAAAUGCAUUAGUGGUACCUCUGUGGUGUUGCGACUGUUAGGUGUGAUAACUAUCUACGCCUUCCUGGUCCGCCACGCAUCUCUCUUGAGGGAGGCUACACCGCUUCUAACCGUCCGCAGCCGUGGACAGCACAUGACAAUUUUGACCUCAAAUCAGGUAGGACUACCCGCUGA